RNAcentral lists this ribosomal RNA (254 nucleotides) under uncultured organism. Its description in RNAcentral is "partial 16S ribosomal RNA". It matches the Rfam family "Bacterial small subunit ribosomal RNA", at positions 524 to 776 of the family's 1533-position model. The record is from RNAcentral.
UACGAAGGGAGCUAGCGUUGUUCGGAAUUACUGGGCGUAAAGGGUGCGUAGGUGGUUCUAUAAGUGAGGUGUGAAAGCCCCGGGCUCAACCUGGGAAAUGCAUUUCAUACUGUAGGACUUGGUGUGCGAGAGGGGAAAGUGGAAUGGCGAGUGGAGCAGUGAAAUGCGUUGAUAUUCGUUGGAACACCAGAGGCGAAGGCGGCUUUCUGGCUCGUAACAGACACUAAAGCACGAAAGCGUGGGGAGCAAACAGG